This 69-nucleotide microRNA precursor is filed under the name Fukomys damarensis (Damara mole-rat). Its description in RNAcentral is "mir-711 microRNA precursor family". It matches the Rfam family "mir-711 microRNA precursor family". The record is from Rfam by way of RNAcentral. Lineage: Eukaryota; Metazoa; Chordata; Mammalia; Rodentia; Bathyergidae.
GCUGACUUUGAGUCUUUCCUCAGGGUGCUGUUGGCAAAGCUGGGGAGCCAGGGAGAGACGUAAGUGAGG